Molecule: long non-coding RNA, 31360 nt
Filed under: Coffea arabica (coffee)
Lineage: Eukaryota; Viridiplantae; Streptophyta; Magnoliopsida; Gentianales; Rubiaceae
Description: long non-coding RNA (CARA_LNC006165)
Source: RNAcentral
UUUUUUUUUUUUUUUUUUUAGUUUUGCAAAAUGCAACAAUCAAGAUUCGAACCCAAGACCUUUGUAAUAAAAGACCAAUGUAUUAACCGUUACACCAUCACAUCUUAUUAGUUUUUUUUGAUAACUUAUUUAUAUAAAGCAAAUACUCAUAUUUCUUUUUUCCAUUUUUCUUACAAAAUCUCAUCCCCUCAUGGCUCUUUCUUUUUAAUUUUCAACUCUCUCUCUCUCUCUCUCUCUCUCUCUCUAUCAUUUUUUCUUUUGUCACUCCCUUUUUAAUCAAACCUCUUUAUUUUUAAUUUAUUAAUGUUUUCUUCCAUCUUUUAAUUUUGUUUUUGUCCAUUAAAUUGAAAAAAGUUAAAAAAGAAUUUUUUUUAACCCAAAUUAUUUAAUGCCACAACCACUCACUUUUAUUUUAUUUUUUGUUUCUUAUCAAGUUUACAUUUCUAUUUUCGAUUUUCUUGAUUUCCUUUGAACUCCAAAUUUUCUUUUUUAAAUUGCAAUAUCUAAAUCUCAAAACGUAAAUUAAAAUUUAAAUUCAUAAUAUCUAAAUUCUCAGAUACAUGAAUUUUGUAUAAUUUCAAAAUAUUGUGAUAUUUUGGGGUUGGAUUUAGAUAUAAUUGAAAUUGAGAUGAAAUUUAUUUGUUUUAACCUAGAAUUUAAAAAAUUUAUUUUUAAAAAUCCAAGUUAUUAAAAAAUAGUAAACUUUUCAUCAUAUAAUAUAUUAAAUUAGUCCAUUACAUGUUUUAUUUUGUACAUAUAUAUAUUUAUAUAAAUUAUUUUUUAAAAAAUUCAUUGAACCGAGGUUGAACCGGUCUGACCGGUUCAAUCUCGACUCUUUCACUUCACCGGUUCAAUUAACGGUCCGAUUUUUAAAACAUUGCCUGAAAGCAAGAGCAGAUCGCAGGGGAAACGGCUGCCAUCGACCUUUUUUGGGUCUGAAAGAUCACUAGGGUCUCGUACAAUCGAAAGUGCGUGGCCGAACAAAAGCCCGCGUACAAGCGGAAUGCCACCUCACAGGUUGUGGUUUCGGGCAGAGAUCUAGUAUUGCGCGAUCCAAACCAAUCCACCAAUGAUUUGGGUUAGAAUGAUUGAUAUUUUGAAGUUGGGCCUACAUGAGUGCCCCGGUUAGGGAUGGGUCUAAUGUGUUGUUACAUAUACCCAAUAACACAAAUUAGACUCAUUUAAUUUAUUUUUUAAAAAAAUUAGACUCAUUUAUUUCUUGAUGCAGAUUUAUUGUUAUCAGUAUUACUUUUUUAAUUUUGUCAUGUACUUCUGCAUGUGACAUGUCAACCAUCAGAAAUAUUGGUGGAGAGAAUUAGGGGUGCAAACGAGUCGAGCUCGAGCCGAACUUUGGCUAAACGAGCCGAGCUCGAGUUAAUUUUGUGAAGCUCGAGCUCGAGCUCGAGCUCGACGAGCUCAAAAUAUCAAGCUCGAGCUCGAGCUCGAGUCAAAUUCGAGUCGAGCUCGAUCUUAAAAAAUAAAAAAAAUUAUUAUUAUUUUAUUUUUAAAAAAAUAAAAAAUAAAUAUUUAUUUUUAAAAAUGAAUAAAAUAAUAUUUUUUUAAUAAAUAAUAAAAUAUUAGGGAUAUAUAUGUAAUUUUACUAUUAAAUAAAAAAUAAAUAUAUAAUUGAGCUCGCGAGCCAACGAGCUUAAUAUUUUUGAACUCGAGCUCGAGUUCGAGAUCGACUUAAUUGGCUCGAUCUCGACUCGAACUCGAUAUUGACGAGCUCGAGUCGAGCUCGUAUUCGAGCCGCUCGCGAUCGGCUCGAUUCGCGAAACACCCUAGAGAGAAUGUAGCGACAAUUCCUUGAGAAGGACGGUCUUUGACACCUCACGAAGUUCGAAAACAUUGAAAAACAUAUGAAAAGCACAAAGAAUACUUGAAAGUUGCAUUUGAUGAGUAUGAAUGGACUUGAACAUUGAAUUAAUUCUCUUCAAUUGCUUCAUGUUCUGCACAAGGCAUAAUUUCCGAAACCUCCCUUGAGAUUUCCUUCAAUUUCACUGAGCAUCUUUAACGUUUCAAAAAUUACACUUACUUCUUUAUGAUGGUUGAUUAGUAUUGAACAACAAAUAUGAAUAUAAAAAACUUGUCACUUAUUUCUUUGUAAUUGUGCUAAAUUACUUCACAAUUAUGUAAAAGAAUAAAUUAAACUUUGUUCGAUGAGGGCAUUUUAAGGUUUUUAAUAAAUUUUUGACCAUAUUUUAAGGUUUAAUGACUGAAAGUGUCAAAUCAUAGGACGUAAAUGCAAAUUUAAAAUAUCGAGAGAGCUCCGUGACUGCUGUCAUGAUGGAAGACUUGAAACCCCUGCAAAAAAAAAAAAAAAAAUGGCAAAUAGAAAAGCAUCAUCAUUGUUUUGCACCCCCAUCCCGCUAAUUUGUUCGUUUCUCUGGAAGCAGGAAUUAUGUGCAGGAACAUUUGUUUUUUUCUCGCGAAGCGUGCCUAGAGCGCUGAAAUCUGAAUUAUCUACUUCAAAUCUGAAUUGUCACAUCGUGAUGAUCAAUGCCCCAAAUGAUCAGACUGCAAGCUUGAUUUUUUAAUUUUUUUUUCCAAAGGUACAUGACGACCUUUUCAAACUUGAUAUAUCGCAUCAUAGUUCUAGAUAACGAAGAGUUAGACGGAAAUAAGGACUCUUCAGUUUCAACAGUUCUCUUCGAUUGUGUAAACUGAUUGUAGAAUUUUGAUGUAAAUGAAAAUGAUAACCAGUUAGUACAAACUCACAAUUAUGUGAAAAAUAUUUGAAAUAAUUUUCAGUGUGAACUAGUAUGCAUGUGUGUUUGGAUAGGAGUUUAUUUGAAAUAAUUAAUGAUGUAUAUAAAACAAAAAGUCGUUAAAAAAUAAAAAAAAAAGUGUAUUGAGAAUAUAUUUAUGAUGCAAACAGAUAAUUUUUAUACAAAUAUUACCUAUCAAAGCAUCAAAAUUAUACUAGUUUGCACAAUUGGACAAAACUGGACGGAUCCUAAUUGAAGAGGCCUCAAAUUCGAGUUAGGCAGAGGAGCAGCAGGAUCAGCAACCGUUCUUGAAGGUUCAUAAUUAAGAUUUGGUAAAAAAAAAAAAAAAAGACCUAGAUUGCAUCUCAUAUAUCAUUUUUCACAUUAUAUGUGGGUUUACAAAAUUUUGUUCUAUAGUUGUACGUUGUUGAAAGUGAAUUAUACCAUAUGUAUAUAAAAUUACAUCUUGUGCAUUUUGCACAAAACCGACUUGAACAGUUUUUUUAAUAACCGUACGAGCCCCAUGUCCGAGUUAGGACAUCUGCAACGGAGUGUGAUGAUACGUGUAAUGCCUGCCAUGAUACGAGUCCAUUACAUGCAUCAUUCUGAUGAUGUGUGUAACAGGCGGGCUAGUGUCAGCAGACCAAUUUUUUUGAAGUUGUAACAGACUAAUUUUUUGAAGCUACAAUGGACAAAAUUUAUACCAGCAAGUUAAAGUUAACAACAUUCAUUUUUUUUUCCAAUGGUUAUGUUUUAAUUCUUUACAUAAACACGCAACAGACUUUUUUUUUUUUUUUUUUCAUAUCCUGCUAUUCUACUCUAUUAUUUCUUUUACUCUUUCACCAUUUUCCUCAAUCUGCUUGCACAAUUUUUUAAAAUUUCAAUAUUUUGUGAUUAUGGAUGAGAAUUUUAGUAGUUUUACAAAUAUGUUAAAUGCUCCAAAUAUAGAAAAUUCAUCCUCCUCACAAAAUCAAAACCACCAAAAUUUUCCAAAUUACCCAUUUUCUGGACGUAUCAUAUCUUCGCAUUUGAGGUAUCACAUAUUUGUUUAAUAAUUGCAUAAUUAUUUUUCAAAAAAUAACAAUAUAUUAUUUUUGAGAGAUAGAAAAAGAUAUAUUGUUCAAACUUAGAAAUUAAUAAUAUUAUUUUUUAGAAAAUAAAAAAUUGAAAAGGUAAAAAUUUUAAUGAAAGUUAAUAAUUUAUUUUUUAAAAAUAACAAAAUUAUUUUUAAAAAAUACUUUAUUUGUUUAUGGGAUAUGAGUUAUGUAUUAUUAAAAUAAAUGUUUGAUUUAAUUGUAGACUCAUGCUAUUACACCUUGUGGAGUGUAAUCCAUUGUGAGUGGAAGUAUAAUAAAAAAGAAGAAAGUGAAAUGCUGACGUGGCACGUGAAUCACAUCCUAAAAAGUGUAAACCAUUGUAAAUGCUCUUAGACGUAGCAGUCAAAUAUAUUGAUCAGGUCAAUUUAUACCAUUUUUAGGGAUUUGGGGCCUCUCCAAUUGUAGUUCCCUUCAAUUAUGUAAACUAGCAUAAUUUCAGUAUAAACUAGUAUAUUUUGGUGUAACCGUGAGUUUUACACCAAUUUAUUAUAACGUAUGUUUGCACCAAAUUAUACCAGUUUACACCAAAUUCGAUUGAUUUACACGAGAGAAUUAAAACUAGGGCAAUUUCGGUAUAAACUAUAUAUUUUUGGUGUAACCAUGAGUUUUACAUCAACUCAAUUAUGACUUCUUUUACACCAAAUUUGUACCAGUUUGAAUUUGAAGGGCCCGAUUUCUCCCUUCCUAGACCUUUCAAUUCACGUUUAUAGCUCAUUAUAUAGAACUCAGUUUUGCUAAAACUAAAGGCUUAGCUGAGAAAGAUUCACAGAGAGCUUAGCAUGGAUAACUAUCAAGAAGAAGAAGAAUUGCAUCAACCACUCUUACAAUCCAACCAACAAACACCAUCACCGCCGCCGCCACCACGAGUACUGGACUACUCCCACUCGACAGCCUAUGAAGCCAGCACCGAGCUCGAGAAGGUGCUCUCCAACACCCAACUGCCAUGGUUCAAACGCUUCCGACAAGCCUCUUGGAUCGAACUCAGGCUCCUGUUUCGGCUAGCCGCACCUGCCGUCAUGGUUUACAUGAUCAACAAUCUCAUGUCCAUCUCCACUCGAAUGUUUGCCGGCCAACUCGGGAAUCUUGAGCUUGCUGCUGCCUCCCUCGGCAACCAAGGCAUUCAACUCUUUGCCUAUGGCCUCAUGGUACAUAAUCUCUUUAAAUCCCCUACCAAUACACAUAACCUCAUAUAUUUGCUCCUUACAACCAAGUAUUAUAAACUUUCAAUACAGAAAAGAUUAAUACAUAUAAUAUCUGGAAAGAGAAAAUGUGUCCGAUAAAUGCUUGAAUUAGCCGGUGUUUUUUUUAAAAAAAUUAUUUGCUCGUAUCUCAAACACUAUUUUUAUCACCUUUUUAUUUCACGUAUGAUAUAUCAUAAACAUGUUACAGUAAUUAUUGGAAAAAAUCUUUCAAAUAAUCUUCUAUCCAAGCACACUCAAGCUUCUUGUGUUUUACAGCUAGGAAUGGGAAGUGCUGUGGAGACUCUAUGUGGGCAGGCCUAUGGAGCUCAGAGGUAUAAUAUGCUAGGGGUGUACCUUCAAAGAUCAACGGUGGUACUCGUCUUAACAGGGUUGCCGGUGACCGUGGUUUAUGUUCUAUCAAAGCCACUCCUGCUUUGGCUGGGAGAAUCCAAAAGCGUGGCAUCAGCAGCAGCAGUAUUCGUAUACGGGCUGAUCCCGCAAAUCUUUGCCUACGCAGUGAAUUUUCCCAUACAGAAGUUCCUGCAAGCUCAGAGCAUUGUUGCACCUAGUGCCUAUAUCUCACUGGGCACCUUAUUCUUGCACGUACUCUUGUGCUGGAUUUCGGUGUACAAGAUAGGACUUGGGUUGAUUGGGGCAUCACUGGUGUUGAGUUUGUCCUGGUGGAUUAUUGUGAUUGGUCAGUUUGUUUACAUAGUAUUGAGUGAUAAGUGUAAGACCACCUGGACAGGGUUCACAUUGGAGGCUUUUACUGGACUUGGGGAGUUUGUGAAAUUGUCGGCAGCAUCAGCAGUCAUGUUGUGCUUGGAGACUUGGUAUAUGCAGAUUUUGGUGUUGAUUUCUGGAUUGCUUCCAAAUCCUGAGCUUUCCUUGGAUUCUCUCUCAAUCUGGUAAUGUAUCUUUUACUGUUUCUUCCCAUAUAGGAGUGAUGAUCUUUUUAAUUCCAUGUCGUUCCAAUAUGGUUCCGCAGUACAAAUUCCUGAAUGCGAGGAAAAACAAUUCAUAUCUAAGUAGUACUAAUCAAAAUUGACCAGUCAUCUACUUUAGUGGAAAAGAAACGACAAGCGCUUUUUAACCCCACUUAGUUUGUGCUUUUAAUUUCACUUGCUUCUGUACUUCUUUUGGACAAUAAAUUUACACUAAGUAAGAUACUGGCUCGUGCUCAUUUUGGCUUGCAAAGUGUAGCCAGGGAAAGCACAGAGAAUUGGGUUCUCUUACGAAUAUUUUUGGGGGUGACAAUCAAUUAAUCCCCUUGGCCCCAUUUAGUUAUCUGAUGCCUAUAUUCUCAUAAAGUUAAAAGCUGAAUAUUGACCAUGAAUAGAUAUAUGCUAAAAGCAUUCUCAAUCAAGGGCUUUCCAUUAAUCAUAGAUCUGAAUCAGUUAGAACAGAAUAAAUGAACCAAAGAAUAUGAGUAGAAAGAAAUGGUUCUCAAAUCAUCAUAAAUUCUAACAUGUUAUAUAACUAAGCCCCAGUAUCUCCACAACCAUGCAUAUAUGAAUAUGGGCACUUUUUUUUUUUUAUUAUUCCUUAACAGUUAGUGUUAAUUUCACUUGGCAAAUGAAUUUCAGUUUAAUUAAGACAUGUUAAAAAAGACAGAUUUCCUUUUAUCUUUUCAUUUCAAAGUCCUCUCAUACUACUUAUCCCAGGUUUUGAGUGUUUCCAAUUACACAUGCACCAUGAUUAUUAGGGAGAACAGGAAGGACCAAAAAGUUGAAAGAGCUUCUUUUCUUCCUUUUCUCUUUAGGAGAAAUUAAAGUGUUUUUUUUUUCUUAAGACACAAAGAAAAGCUAAAUCUGGUUCUUAACGCACGAACCUUUUUGUAAUAUCAUCUUUAAUUAUUGUCAGAUCAAGAAGCAUUUGAUGCCUGCGCCUCAGACAGGCAAGCUUUAUUCCCAACCACUGAUGCCUGGUCAUUGUGGUCAAUUGAACAGCCCCUCCAUAUAUUGAAUAAAGGGCUAAACACAGAUGCAUUAAAUACCCCAUCCACCCUCCAUUUCCAGCUCCAUAAACCUUUAUUUAUUAGGGCACAGAGUACUUGAUAGAGAGUUUCAUCGAAGCUUUGUCUGUUGUGCAUUAAGAGUCUGGACACAAAACUAUUGUAUUGCUGGGUCCUCUCACAAGGCAAUAUUUAAGGAACUAGAUAGAAUACAAAAGCUGUUCCUGCAAUCAAAGCCCCAGAUUUUUACCUAUAAUGUGUGCUUGGUCCACUAUACUAUUGUUGAAUUAUUUCUGUAGUUUCACAUCACGUUUUAUGUCAAGAAUAAAAUAAAAAAAAAAAGAAAAGACGUCUUACCAUCUCAAAUUGAUCUCUAUAGUAUGCAAGCGGAAUUGUAGUUCAUCUCGUAAUCGAGUAUUAUUGGUCAUCGUCUAUGAUCUAUUACCUCUCCUUAUUUAGUUUCAAUUACAUUAAUGAGGUAACUUUGUCCAAGGGAGAAAAUGAUCGAGAAAAUGUGCACACUCUCACACACAUGGCGACGAUCGAGAAAAUGAUUGCAUGAUCAUCAUGAGAAAAAAGUAUAAUUAAUACUGCUAAAUUGUACUCCCUCCGUCACACUUUGAUAGUCCUGUAUUCCUUUUUCAUCUGUCCCAAAUUGUAGUCCACUCUCCAAUUGAAGAAUAUAGUUGUAUUUUCAUUUUCCUAAAAUACCCUUAUUCAAUAUAAGUAGUUAUUACUAUAAACCUACCCCAUUUAAUGAGAGUUGAUUCUUUUUUUACCAUUAAUUCAAGUUUGCAUAAAGUUGUAUCAUAUUUAAUGCGAGGGUAUUUUAGAAAAAUAGCAAUUUAAAUUUACUUUUCCAACAAAGUUAACUCCCUUUUCUUAAACUGUGUGAAAAAGAAAACAUGACUAUCAAAGUUGGAGGGAGGGAGUACCUGAUUUUUGCACUAUUAAUUAACACCUAUAAUUCUUGUAAUUAAAAACCAUGAUACAGUCGUCGUUCUAGUUGAUUUUACCAUUGCGCCGAGAAUCUUAUGGUCUGUCUUGAUGACCUUGUGCAGCUUGGCUGUAAACGGAUUAUUAUUCAUGGUUUCGGUUGGCUUCAAUGCAGCAGCUAGGUGGGUUCAGCUUUUAAUUAGUUUUUGUUGAUAAAUUCAUAAGCAUAUACCAUCUAUCUAGUUCAAUCAUUAAUUUCAGGUAAUACUCUAUCUAAACAUACAAAUUUGUGGCAUUAAUAUUUGAGAUGGGAUUAACAUGCAUGGCAGCGUGAGGGUUGGGAAUGAGCUAGGAGCAGGAAACCCAAAGUCGGCAGCAUUUGCAGUGUUUAUGGUGAAUUUUGUGUCAUUUGUAGUUGCAGUGGUGGAAGCCAUCAUCGUGUUGUCGCUGCGACAUGUUAUUAGCUACGCAUUCACCAGUGGGGAAACCGUAGCCAAUGCCGUGUCGGAUCUUUGCCCAUUUUUAGCAGUCACUCUCAUCCUCAAUGGCGUCCAACCCGUCUUGUCUGGUAAGAGUUUAGUACACCUUUUCAACAACAUUUACCUCAGAGAAUUAACCAUAUUGUUGUUAAUCAUGUGGUGCUAAUUACGUAGUUAAGAUUCCAAUCUUAAAAUGUAUUCUUCUUUUUUUUUUUUGGGGCAGUUCUUGAUGGGAAUAAUUGGGAUUAAUUAGCGUAUAAAUGCAUGUUAUGUUUCAAUAAACAAUGAUCCACAUGCACAUAUACGACUCAGAUUACUCAUCCUAAUUACUAACCAAUUAAUAUAGGAUAAAAAUAUGCGUAAGUGUGUCUUUCUCGGUUUGGAGCCUUGUGGAUUAUAUCUUUGUCUAUGCUGUAGUAAUCAUGGUUUGGCUCAACUGCUCAUGCAGGAAUCCAAGACAACGAAAUGGGCAAGUUGAAGUCACUUUUGUAUGCAUGCACUCACAAUUCUCUUUACGUAACUUUCUUUUGUUUUAUAUAUAUAUACAUAUAUUUUAAGUGUAAGUGAGAGAUUCAAAUACGGGAUCUCUUAUUAUACUUUUUUUUUUAGUACUAUCCAAUCCGUCUCUCCUAAAUCUGAAAGAUUCUCUAGUAGGUGAAAUACUCUAAUUAAUCCCCUAUAAUAAGAUAGUAUAAAGCAUCUGUAUGGAAGGGUUAAACCCCCCCCCCCCAAAAAAAAGGAGAGAAGAAAGGGAGAAUCAUCAUCGGAUGGUUAGCAACCUGAUAUGAAAUUUCCUAUCAAAAGAAAAGGACGUCUUUUUGCUUUCUUGAUUGAGAAGCUGUGUAUGGUCUUGAAAGGAAACGAAGCUAGCUAACAUGCAUGAUGGGUGUAAAUUGUACAUAUCCUAUUAUAUUACAUCAAAAAAAAAAAGGCCUUUUGUGACACAUUGAUUGAAACCUUUUGGUCCCUUGAUUACCACUGCAAAUUGGCAACCACUGAGCUCUUCAUGAAGACAGCCAAGACAAAGACCAAAACUUUGAUGAAAUAACUACGGUAUAUGCAGCAAUAUGACCAGCUUUGUUGAUCGUCCACUUCAACCAUAGAUAAUGCAGCAGCUUUAAUUUAUAUAAGUGCAAUAACUAACACCUAUACAUACAUCUUUUCUUCCUUGAUUAGUUGUAUUGAUAUCAUCAAUUCAAGAGACUCUUUUUAUGCAUUGAUUUUCAUCAGGUGUUGCUGUGGGGUGUGGAUGGCAAGCAUAUGUAGCUUAUGUAAAUGUGGGAUGUUACUACGUGGUAGGAAUUCCGUUGGGUUGUCUUCUCGGCUUCAAAUAUAAACUUGGAGCUAAGGUAUAUGAAUGAAAUUAGGCUUUAAUUUCUUGCAGUACUACUUCUUAUACGUACCUGAGGCAUAUAUAGCUGAUACAGGAUCUUGUGUUGUGGAUGGAAGGAGAUGGAAAUUUGUUAUUGGUUGGCAACUUUAAUUAACCAUUCCUGCUUGCAGGGUAUAUGGUCCGGAAUGAUUGGAGGAACAAUGAUGCAGACACUUAUCUUAGUAUGGUCUACAUUUCGGACGGACUGGAAUAAAGAGGUUAGCAAUAACUAACUGGUUAAUAUCGAUCCUAAAUUAAUUAGAACCUCUUUAGUUAUGAUUUUAAAAUUUUUUCCUUUCAUUUUUGUUUACUAAAAAAAGUUAUUUACGGUUGUUCAAGAAGGUUAUAUAUAUAUGAAUAGCUCAAAAUUUAAUUAAUGAGUUUUCAGGUGGAGAAAGCAAGAGAACGUCUGCGAACCUGGGAUGACAAGAAAGAACCCCUUUUGAAGGAUUAGAGGCUAAUUAUGAUUGAAUAGUCCUGAACAGUCCUUGUAUUUGUCCCGAAUUACAAUUGAGACUGCGGCGAAGUCCCAUUGGGUGUCAAUUCCCUGGCUUCCCCCAAAUAAUAUAUUUCAUGGCUGGGAAAAAUAUGAGCAUAAGCAAUAGCUCAUUGAGAAAUCUAAGGAAGACAAUUCUGAAGUUUAUAAAUGUAAUUCAUUGAAGGAAGAGAAUAAUGAAAAGGGGCAAUGAAUUUCCCAUAAAUGCCGUAUGAAUUAGAUAUUUUUUCGCCUGUUUUUCAUAAAUUUUAGUAUUAUAGUAGUGUAUGAAAAAUUGUUAUUGUAAUUGUUUGUUAGGGCGUUUUUAGAAUUUCAAAUAUUGUUGGAGUAUUUUUUUUUUUUUUUUUUAAAAAAACCAUCCAUCACUAUUACUUACCACGACAACCACACCACCCCCUCCCUCCUCCUCUCUCUGUCUCUCUCUCCUUUUCUUCCUCCUCUCUCCUCCCUACUCCCUUGCCGGCAAAACCCUCCUCCUUCCUUCCAAAAGCCGCUCGCAACUGGAACUUCUGAUUGCGGAAAGGGGAGAGGAUUUUGGGGAAGGAAAGAAAGGGGAGAAGGGAGGAGGAGAAAGAGAGAGAUAGGAGAGAGGAGGGAGGUGGUACUGGUGGCGGUGAUUAGUGGUGCUGGUAUUAUGUGGUAGGAAUUAUUUUAUUUUUUAUUGCAUUUGAGAAUGUAUGUAUGGAUCAAAUACUUUUGGAAUUGUAUUUAGAAUGUGUUAUUGCAACAUUGUAAUUGAAAAACGUAUUUGUGAAUCCGAAUAGAGCCGUUGUUCUUUUUUUUACCCAGUUUUUAGGACGUUAACCCCUUGGCCGGGGAUAGAGCAAUUAAUCCUUAUCUACGGUGAUGGCCAGCACAAAGUCUGAAUUUUCAUUUUUUUUUUUUUGUAGUUGAUCUUUUUAGUUGUGCUUAGGAAAUUCCAGGCUUGAAAACCAAAUUGAAGGUGAUGAAUUUCAGUCUGAAUUCUGGUGUUAAUGAGUUACAAGCAACAACCAUUUGUGAUAGUUUCAAGGCAACAAACCAUUGUUUUUGUCAUUGAUGACCAAACUUUUUCUUUUUCGAUGAUCACUUAAACUUUAGAAGUUCAGAUAUGAUAAUAAAAUUUACACAUUGCACUAUCAAAAAAUUAAAUUCAUGCAUGCAUUAAUCCCAUUAAUCCCUAUGAUGAAUUUUUGAAGAAGUAUCGUAAUUAAUUGAAAUUGUGUUCAAUAAUAUGAAAAGGGUACAGAAAAAUCAAAUAAUCUCAAUGUUUUUGUACUUAGGUUUUUUUUUUUUAUUAUUCUUUUGUACUCAGUUUUAACAAUGUGAAGCAGUCCUUUCUUCUUUAAGUAACAAUAUAAUUCUAACUUCAAGACCUUUGUCUAAACAAGAGGAGGCAAUGUGAGGAGGGAACAACUGAAACUUUUAUCCUUGCACCGAUUCCUUCUUAAAUUUAGUUGAGAGGAGGGAAAUAUUCAGAAUCCCCAUCUCGCUGUAACUUGUAAUCAAAUACAACUAUUUUAUAUGAAUGUCCAGAAAAAGAGAUUUAGAUGAACGCUCAAGCAAAUAAAGCCACAAAUCUUUUAGAUUGAUAAAUAUUUGAAUUUGUUAUAUACAUUAUUUACAAUCAAUUUGGCUUCCAAAAUUCAUGUUAAAUGGAUUUAGGCUGUAUGUACACCAUACAAAGCUGCAUGAGAAAAUAGAUUACUUUUUUGUCCUUUAUAUCUCUCAUCCAAAUUUCUAUGGGAGGGGAAAGCACAUGAGAAAAGGAAAGAAGCAUAAUCAACGAAACUAACACUACCUAUGCUAUGAGUAAAACAGUGAGUAAGGCUUACUGUAAUUACAAAAUCCACAAGAAGUUACCUCAGAAGACUUGUGACUCAAGAAUGGUUUACAUCUUCCUCGAGUGAAGUAUGGUAAUCUCACCAAAACUGUUACAUCUACGUCAGUAUUUUUCCUCUACAAAAAAACAUAAAUCCACAAGGACUACAAAGAGCAGUAAAAUUUUCAAUCCUCUGAAAUGUUGGAUCUACAUCUGCAGGUGCUAGUCCAACAUGGUCAUCAUCUGUGUAAAGACACAGCUUAAGGGUCGUAGCACCCCAGACAUGAGUAUAAAUGCCACCAGCAUUCUGUAUCCAACCAUGGAGAGACCUUACAAUGUGAUGGCAGAGAAUUAUUCUGGAUGAGGCCUGGCAAUAAAAAUACUAUCCGCAUAAAUUCAAAUUCAGUUGAUCUGAUUGCCUACCCAGGCUAAUGCUGAUCAUUCCACUGGCAUGCAGAUCCUUCAGUCUGAAUUUGGUGCAUCAUGCGGUGUUGGCAAUGAAGACUUGGACCUCAUUAUACGUUUGCACAUCCUGAAACACAUAUCAUGCAAACAAAUCACAUUACACUGCAAAGAUGAGAUUAGAAAUGCAAUGAUCACUUGAUACUUCGAAAUGUACAGGACACAACAGAGAAACUUAUCAUACCUAGAAACUUCAAAUGAUAUUGCAACCAAGAUAUUCUAAACAAAUCUUCCAAGAAUCAACCAAAUUAAAUAAUGAGCAAGCUCAACAAGAAAACACACAUACACAUCAAGAGCCUCAGUUCUUCUCCUAAUUUCAGACGAUGAGAGUGUAGGAUCAGCAUUUUUGGGUAAUGAAUCCUGCAGCUGGGUUCUCUCUCGAAGCCACUGCUCUGCUUUACUGCAUUCGUUAUAUACCUGCAAAAUGAAAGAGGUCAAGCAACUGAACGCUAUAAAGACAAUGCAAAAAUAUACACCUUCAAAAUGAUGCGAAAGUGACCGUACAGCAUCUCUCUCACUUGGUGGCAGUGAUCCUACAGCCAUUCGAUUCUCCACGAUGCAAUUUAAUAAACUUCUUGUUGCCUGUGCCCUUGCCUCUUCAUCUUUAUACCGAUGUUCAACAGGAUUGACCAUCUAAACAAAAUUCUGACAAGGUUAUAACGUCCACCAAGAAGAAGCAUGAAAACGUUACACUAGGGCAUGUACACAGGAAGCACCUUUUUGAGAUCUUCAAGUUUCCGAGCAUAGACGUGUUCAGACUCGUCAUCUCCAUCAUCAUACAGCCAUUCCUCAGUCUGUUGCAGACUACUGGAAAUUCCUUCUCUUUCUGCAUCGGUAGCAAAGCUCCGAUAUGAAUUUAAAAGCUGCGGAUGUGAUGUCAUUUUCACACUAAAAGUGAGUUGGAGCAUGAAAAGGAUUAACCCCAAAAAAAAAUGUUUGUGCACCAAAAGAGGACAUUGAUUACAGAAUUUCAUAAAGCAAAAGAAAAGAGCAUUGAUCAUUAAAAGUUCAGGAAGAAAAGUUCCUAAAAAGGAUUGAUUUCAAAAGUUCACCAAUCAAAGAAUACACGACUUAAGAUGAACAGGAAGAAAAAGAAGCAGAAAGAAUCUCCUCUUUCGGCUACUCAGAUGUAAUAUAAUUUUGAAUUCACUGACAAGUGUUUCUCAAAUAAGAACAGUGAAUGAACCACGUCAGUUGACAAAUUCCAGAAGAAGAAGAAGAAAAACAUGAUGAAGGUGUUGUAUGUUAUUACUUUAGAACUAAAAUAACAUAUUUUAGCUGGACUAUCCCAAACUCCGAAUUAAAGUAUAUAAGAAAAACAAAGAAUGGCCCAAUGGAUACUAAGUCUUUCUUCGACUUUUCAUCGCCAGGCAUUCAUUCUUAAAUAGCUUGCUAUUUGGCAUAAAUCUUUUCCCAUCCAGUUUCAAAGAAAUUUAUCAUCCUGGUGAUAAAAAGGCGGACAGAUUUGAAGCAUUGACCUAAAUAGAUGCAAAAUGAACGGCUCCACAGCGCCAAAUUCCACGUCAAAGUGGAUUAAAGGUCCUCAACUGUUUUCAGGCCAAUCUUGAAAUCAGAAUGCUAAUUGAAAGAUGCUCAGUCAAGUCUUGGUUAACAAGAUUACCCACCAUGUGCGAAUUAGUGGCUCCUAACAAAUGCAAAGGUUUGACAGGGAGAUGCAGCAUUUAUGUAAAGAUAAGAUUGAGUGGGCCUGGUUGAAGGAAAAUCUUAAUAUUGUUUGCCCAAGGGAUCUGAAUAAACAAGUUGGAUCCCAGCCAGCCCCGACUGCAGAUACAAUGACUUUGUUUACCUAGGUCUUGCCUUAGUGCGUGUUUCACCAUUUAAGGUUUUUGCCAAGUGUUAAAACCAUACAUUUUCACUUUCCAGUCAAUUGGAUCUGCCUCUACUCUCACUGCAUUAAGGACAACAAACUUUCCAACAGUAAAAUUGGGUCUAGCUAGUGCUAAAUCAUGUGGUGUGCUGGCAAUUGUCCAGAGUGGAUGGCUGCAGAGCUAGUAUGACCUGGCAUCUGGCAUUCAUGAGCUGAAGUGUACAAAAUGUACAAUAAUGAGAAGUUGUCCAUGUUGACACUGUGCUAAUAAGUUUCUUAGCACUGUUAAAUGCCAAUGCAUUCUUUUGUGCAAAUGAAACAGUGAAAACAGGAAAAACUCUUAUCCUGUUUACAACUUACUAGUAUUUUCAGAGGAAAAUUGGAGGUAACAUAAUGAUGGAUCAUUAAGAAAGGGCUCCAUCUACUUUCAAUAAUCUGAAAGCAGAAUCAAUUAGGCUCUAGAGUUAUAUCCUGUGGAAACUGUUAGAAACCCCUUGCUUUUACCCCCAAGCAUUAUGCAUCUUAAACUGAAGAAUCUACAAAGCAAGGUGGUAGCUGCUUGGUGUAGCAGAAAUGGCAUGCUCACAACUUCUAAAAGGGCCAUUUUUUAUGUUCUAAAUGCAUCCAACAAGUUCAAUCAACGGUUUAGUACUUUAAGCAACCUGAAUAAAUUUCAAAUUUUUAUCACAAUUUCUACAUUGUGUCAAUUGUCAAAUAUAUUUUCAUUGAUAUGCAUUAUUAAAAGUAACUUUCAAAAUGUUCAUCUAACUAUUUUGGACAUGCAAGAAAUCAGAAAUAUUUGAUACAAUAUCAUGCAUGCUCCAUGAUUUUUAACCAUUUGGUUUAAGUGCCAAAUAUGAAUUCCAGUUAAGAAACAAUUUUUCUGGUAGAUUGUGACACAACUACGAAUAUAGUUGAUUUGAAGUGUUUUCUUAUGUCUUGUCCAAAUUAUUCAAGGAAUGCAACUUAGAAGUAUCUGUGCUAUGUCAUAUUCAUUACUCCUGUACAUGGUGUUCUUCUUGGCUAGUGGCAACAGUAGCUAAGGAACUUAUAGUCUAACAUUAAAAAAAAUAACAGAAAAUGAAGAUGACAGGAAGCAGAUACAGCAAAACUUAAAGAUAAUGACAGGUGCAGCCUGUGGAUGUUCCAUAAAUGCACCAGAAACAGGACCAGAAUACAGAAGGAAAUCCAACUGAAAGAAAUUACACCAAGCCAACCAGCACAGAUAAUUUGACCAAUUGUUGCCGAACAAACUAAAUGUGUUUUGCAAACAUGCCGAUGUAAACAAGUAAAUGUUGGCCAGUAAAAGCAAUAUAUGGCCAACCUGUUUGCUCUUGGAUAGUCAUAACUACGACAAUGCACCUUUAUCAGAUAUCUGUCUAGGCAAACCAAAAAAGAAAAAAAAUUACAGGUACUGAGUGUGUUUGAAUACAAGUGCUUUUUUUUUUCCACAUAUUAUUUCGCUUGCAUCAUAGACACAUUUUCCAAUCACCAUUUUAUCUCACACACAUCAUUUCACAAAAAGUGCUACAGUAUUAAUCUGGAUAUCUUUUCCAAAUAAUCUCCUAUCCAAACACACCCAUUGCUUUAUGUACCAUAUUCAUACAGAGAUCUUAUGCAGCUUGAUCUUUUAGGCCUGGUUUCCAAACUGAAACCUGACGUACACAUAACUAGAUAUUGAAUCAUACCUUGUUACGGGUGUCAUAGACAUAAGACUCGAGGGAGUUUUUACGAUCUUUAGUUCUCUCCAUCUUUGUAUCUUGUUCAGCCAAUUGAAGCUCUUUUUCUUGAGCUUGGGACAGUUCAACUGGCGUCAUCCCACCACAUAUAUUUUCACUGAUUGGUAUAUCCUGUCUCCUUGUUGCUUUUGCCCUCCUUUCAUCACCCUGCACAAGGAUAUGAAUAUCAUACCAUUUAUUUACAUUCAACAAUGAUAAUCUAAGUUGAAUUUGAAGGGAAACAAACUUAGUUUGGAGGACCAGCAGACUCAUUUUGUAACUGAACAAAGUAAAGGUACUAGAGCUAUGUUGAUGUCAAAACAAUUAAAUUAUUGAAGAUGUAUGCCUCUGUAUCUUGGGCGCAAGCCUAUCUUUUCUUUCAAUUGAUAAUGGGGAACAACCUCAGCAAUGUAAUUAUUCCUCAAGCCAAAAGACAAAACUUCAGAAAACUUACAGCAGCUGCAGGUGAAAACUUUGAAUGUGCAGAGUUUGAGUCACCAGGACCAUUAGCUGUGUAAAAAGUCUCAUGAUUGCUUGUCUCCAUGUUCUCUGAAAGAGCAUCAGCAUAGUUAUUUGAAGUAGGAUCAUCCGCAUGAUCUUCAAUCAGCUGAAGAAAGAUAAAAAUUUCAUGAAGAAUUCAAAUGAAUCAUGAUUUACACAUGUUUCUCAAAUUAUAAUCUACACUCACCGAAGCUGAUUCAACACCAACUAUUCCAUGGAUGUUUAGGUGAACUCUUACUUUAACCUUCGCCUUCUCCGAAUGGGAAACUUGGUAGGGGCCAAUCUAAACCAAAAAAAAGAAUAUUUAACUUGAGUUUGCUUAUCUUCCUAAUCCAACAAAUUCAGCUUGAAACAAGAAAAGCUACAACUACAGCAUAAUCAUUGAAAGUAGGAAAGAAAAUUAUCCUGUGAUAUAAAUAGAAAGUAAACUCUUUGAGAAUGAACCUCAAACAAGAAAAAGACGAAACAAAAUAGCAUGCCAACUUUCACCCCAAAAAAUCUGGUGCAUUUGGGUUGAGAAUUGUAUAUAUCAGUUUCCACUUUGGAAUCAUCCCCAUCUAGAACUGUGUUCUUUAUGACCGUAAUCAGUGGCCCAGAAUUUGCAGUGUCUAGAUCUUGUUUUUCUGGAAUCCCUAUGCAAUGAAUCCCUCCAACAUAUGACUUCCAAUUAUCACAAAAAAGUAUGUCACAUAAAUCCAACGAAGAUGUAAAUUCUCGUUCAAAUGUCCACAUCUGUCCUUAGUGCUGAAAAAGAAGUCACUGGGAAGACAAGAAAUGCCUUUUUUGAUAUUUUGCAAAGGAAGCUAGUGGAAGUUUACCUAAAGUUAGAGGCCUAGCAUAGUUUUAGGAUGUGGAUAUGACCAUAAUAUUAAAUAUCCAUAUAUAGUUAGCCUUCAUACUUAAGAUCAGGUUAUUUGACUGAAAGAUAAUGGGAAAUUUCCAUCCCGUAAUCUCAAAAAAAAAAAAAUGCAGUUCUGAUACUUUUGCUCCCUAAACUAACUUUGAGGCAAAAAAAUUUCCCCUCAUUCUAGCUUUGGCAUCCAAUUGAAUCUAAAUCUAAACAAAUCCUUCAAAACCAAACUAAGAAGUUACACAACAAUUACCACAUUACAGUACCACGACAAUCAUAUUUCUUUCCAGAAUAUCUUAAUGAAGAUGCAACAUCUUAUUUCAAUUCUUAAGUAGUUUUCUUCUGAACAGACAAAAUUAAAUUGACACUAGAUGGUGUAAAGAAGAAGUAGUGUCAAAUCCCAUAUGCAAUGGAAUACAUUCCUUUAUCUCCUUAAAAUAUUUUCAGCAAUUAGGUAACUUUCAUUAAAACACUACAAAAUGGUUUAACAAUUCUAUUCAUCGACCAAAAAGGGAUUUGAUAGUUUAUUUUCUGGUUUAAUGGGCAUUUUGAAGUGCAAAUUUCACUUUCAACAGGUAACGACAGCAAAUUAUUUAAUCUACAACAUCUUGGGAACUGGCUAAAGCACUCAAUCAACUAAAUCAAUGAGUUUGGACCCCCUUAUUCAAAGCAAGAAUGUUUGGUCAUAGCUUUACAUCAUGCAGUUAAAUUUCCCACCUGCAGUACAUUGGCAUAGAGUGCACCAUACAUGACAGCAAGAAGAUGUAAGGAUUAAAUACAUUCAAUAAUUCCACAGCGCCAUCAGACUCUCUUCACAGCAGAGUUGAAAUCCACCAAUAUCCAACUUAUUUGCUAGAAUAUAUAAAUCAUAAAUGUUUCUGAGACAUAAUAGACGUCUCUCCCUCUUUGGCCUAAACUCUCUUAAUGCAGUAACCACAACAUCUCUUCCCAAUGACAGAUCAUUAUUUUCACAUAACAAUUGGACCACCAGAUGCGAUUGAUGAUUCCAAGCAUUUAAAGAUACCACAUGCAUUUAGAAAUAAAAUAUCAUUCAGUCAAUUCAUAUUGAGGAUGAGCAGGAUGGAUAUAUGUGAAACAACAAAUGAGGAAUAUUAGUUGCACAUACACAUUCAUAGUAAAUUCAAUGAUAGAGAUACUUAAAGGCAUGGAAGCACACAAAUAGUUGCAUUAUUGUAAACAUGAUUAGAAUUGUUUAACAUCUACAAGAUAGCAAUAUUACAAAUUCUGCACAGAGAACCAGAUAAGCUCUCAUUCGCUUAAUUUAGCACAUAAUUUAGCAAAAAAUUGCCAAGUAAAAGGAAUAUUACCAUAAAAUCACUAAUUUUGGUAGACGUACAGGGUAGCAACUCAUUCUCAUUCGCAUAAAAGGCUUCCAUUUGGAAUGUAUUACUCUUCUGCAAUGUAAGCAUCUUAACACUCGGAAAAGGAUGACCUCGUGGAAACAAAACACAAUUUGAUUGUGCACAAAUUGGGCCAUCACUAAGAGAAAAUCCUAUGGAAAAUGGAAAAGAAUCUUGCACCUGCAAAAAAAAUAAGGCCAGAGAGAACAUUAUUCUAUUAAAACAGCCCACAAUUUAUCCAACUGCCUGCAACAAAACUUCAAGGAUAUUGAAGUCGCUGUCCUGUCUGCUAACCGCAUAGAAUGAACAAAAUCUUAGUAUCAUAAUACCACUAAUAAAAGAUUAUCUUCAUUUCUUUAGUGUUCAAAUUAUCAUUUUGGAUAUGCUAAAAAAACUAGCCUCUUAGAAUGAUCUCCAAUUGUCUUCACAUCAUUAAAAAUGAAAUAGUGAUUAGACAAUCAAGAAAAAUGGUACCAGUUGAGAAAAAAUGAAAAUCUAACCUAUGAAAACAUUAUCUUUAAUUGAAUCUGAACCAUCUGAUGUCAUUGAGGGACAUUCAUUGUGGACUGAAGGAUAGUUUAUGUUGAGAUUAAAGAAACUAAAUGUUUUUAUCUUCAUCGUAGGACACUCUGUUUAAACCUUUAUUUUAGAUUCCACAACUGAGUUUAAAAUUAAGGCAAUAUGCUUUUGCAUUUUAUGAAACUAAAGACAUUUGGCCUGUCAAGAAUUCUUGACAUUUGCACUUUUUAACUGAGAAAAGUUCAAAGAAAUGUAAACCAUGGAUUUUACCUGCAAGGUUUUAGUAUAUGCCUAUUUAUCAGCAUGAUGCUUAUAAAUUUUAAGUACCUGUAUACUAUGGCUAUGGUUGGUGAAUUCCUAUUUAAGAGUCAUUAAAACCUAGAAUACACAAUUGAUUCCCCAUUUUACCAACUCAUAAUUGGUUACCGACCAAUUUCACAGGUCAAUACUAUGUCACAAUAUGCACAAUGUGACACUAGAAGAACAAAAUUUCAACUAAAAGCAUGAGAAAAGAGGCUGUUGAAGCACUACAUCGCAGCAAGUGUACAAGACAACAGCUAUAAUUGUAAUGAUAAUAGGGCUCAUAAUUAUGGCAAUGGAAGCCCGGUUACAAAUAAAGGAGUAACAAGUUCCCGUUAGCGAGUCUAAGAUGCUGCCAACGAUACAUAGAGGCAUCUGCUACUCACUGAUUUUGCUCUAGAAUUUCAUUUGUUCAACUACUGGGACAGAAUCAUUUUGAAGAAGUGUGCUUUCCCACAGGAAAACUACUUUAAAUGCCAUAAUUUUUUGCAUCCUCUUUUGAUUCCGGGGUUUUCUCUUGAAGAGGAAGCCAAACUUAGCAAGGACAUGAUCAUGCAUGGGGAAGAGCAAUGACAUCAUAUUUUGGAUUCUCCCUAAAACAAGCUACAAGCACAUUUAAUGACUUCUGGAAUAACCAUGGUGAAACAAUAUUUUUUUUUAAAGCAACAUAAGAAUAAUAGACAGGAGCAGAAAUAGAGAAACAGCACAUGCUCAAGUAAGAAAGUAAAAAAAAAAAAUACAAAUGAACCAUGUUUAACGAACCUCAAACUCCCUAACACGGAAUGUUGGGCUCAGCAUUGCACAUUGAAGAGCACAACCACGAGCCACACACUCACUGACAUUUAUCGUUCGGCUGGGCUCUCUCCUGAAAAGGGCACUUAAAACCUUCAUGAUUGCAGGAAUUCGUGAGCCUGAUCCAACAAGCUCAACAGUGUGAAUCUUUUCCAGAGUCAGACCAGAGUCAAGCAAAGCCUUACGGCAGGGAAAGCUGAUUCCCUCCAACAAGUGUGAUGAUAGCUUCUCAAAAUCUUCUCUCUUAAUGAAUCCCUUGACAUCUUUCUCAUCCAUCAAGCAUUCAAUGUUAAGUGGUGCCUCUGGAUUCGCGCUCAAGACCUUUUUCAAUUUCUCACAAGCAGCCCUCAACCUUAUAGAAGCCCGAAGAUUUGAAUGGACAUCAAUGUUGUACUGUUCCUUGAAAUUGGCAGCGAAAUAUCUGAACAAAACCUCAUCAAAGUCUCUGCCUCCUAAGUUACUAUCAAAAGCAUGAGAAAGUAUCUUCAUUUGUCCAGGCUGAAAUGAUGCUACAGCCACCUGCGUAUCACAAUGGCCAACAUCAACAAACACAACAUUUGCCGGACCCCCAUUGAAGUCUGUCUUGUAUAUACCAUAACCAAGAGCAGUAGCAGUACAGUCAUGCAUCAACCUCAAAGGUUUCAGACCAGCAAUCUCAGCUGCGUGCAAAUAUGCUCUUCUCUGCAAGUCAGUGAAGUAUGACGGUAUACCAAUAACACAAUCCGAGACAUGAGUCUCCAGAUUUUUCUCCGAAAUCUGCUUUAAAUGUCCAAACAACAUCACCAUAAUUUGAAACGGUGUAAAGCUUUGUUUCUCAUCCAAGUAGUACAGAUGAAUCAAAAUACCACCAUCAGGUCCCUCAGAAGUCUCAAAAGGUACCAACUUUAAAUCAUCCUGCACACUUGGUUCCCUAAACUUCCUACCGAUCAAUCUCUUAACCUGAGAAAUCGUUGAUCUCGGGUUCAUGGUAGCAGAGGCAGCCCCUACUGCACCCAUAAACCUCUGCUUCUCACCAAACGACACCACAGCAGGGGUUUCACGUUUUGAUUCAUCAUUCAACAGCACAUCAAUGCCCCGCUGUUUGGCCACUGCUACAACACAGUUCUCAUUUCCAACAUCUAACCCCAACACACUCAUUUGCAACUAGAAGCCCAAAGCAAUCAAAACCCACCAAAAUUUUAGCACAGAACAGCAAAAUUCACUCCCAAAACAACAAGAAAAUACACCUACACAGAAAACCAUUAUCACAAUAUCAGUAGCUCAUGCAUUCAAAAAACUAGCUGCACCCCACAAAUUCAGAAGCAGAAUGAAUGAUCAGGUCAUGUGAAUUAAAAACCGAUUCAUAAUCACAAUAGAAACAGGUUUCAUCAUAAUCACUAUCAAAAACAGACUAUGAAUUACUGACAUAAUUCAAAAGAUACUACUAGCUGUAGUGAUAAAAUAUCGCAGCUCUACAGUGACGCCGGCAUCUGAUCAUCAAUGUUGUUCCACAAACAGAUUAAAUACUGAGAAAAAAUAGAAUUGCGUGGGGAAAUUGGAACACAUGUUACCUGCAAAAGUGAGCGAUGAAAAUGCAGAGAUAUUGUGGGGCGCCGGGCGAAUAGAAGGAACCCUAAAGCAUUAGGAGGAGGAGGAGGAGGAAGGGAAGAGCCUAAUGGAGGAAAGAGAGAUAAUCUCCGGAAUGAUUGGGGCGAAGAGUCUUAAGAAGAUCCCUUCGCACCCUUUACUUAUACACGGACGAAAACGGAUCAAAUCAUGUAGCAGUACCUAACGUAUGUUCCAUGGAAUUGUACUUUACUUCCGCCACUGUCUUAAUGGAAUGAUAGCUAAUGAGUGAGCGGAAAGAUAAAAAGGAAAAAAGACUGCUUAUGCCCUUGCAAUUCCGGAAAUUGGCCUUCUCUUUUCUGAUUGGUUUCUCCCCACCAAUGCCCUUUCCGUAUUACUCGGUUGCCUUUGCCUUGGCGUCUUGAAUGACAUUUUUCACGCUGCUCUCGAAUUUGGAUAGUGUAUUAUUUGAAAUAGUUAUUGUAGCAUUUUUUGUGAUAUGAUGUACAUGAAAUAAAAAGGUGAUUGAGAAUAUAAAAAAAUAGGUUGGAAAAUGUAUUUUCGAUACAAGCGAAAUAUUAUUUGAAAUAAUUUUGAUAUCCAAACACUCCCGAAGUUGCUUCUUCACCUGCAAAAAUCAAGAAUCAGCCAAGCAUGCAGCAAAUAUUUGAUUCAGUGCAAUUAAUCCAGUCUUCCGUUCUUCAGGGCAUAUGACUUGCCUGAAGUUUUUUUUUUUUUUUAUAAUUGAAUAAUUGAUUAUGACAAAGGUGGCCAAAUAUGCAUUACACCUUAAAUUUUGUUGUGCAUCACAUCAAAAUUAUGGAUUAACUAGUUUUGUACCCGUUCGUUAAACGGGAAUCGUAGAAAAAAAAUAAACUAUUUAGUCAAUUUUAUAAAAAUGUCGAUAUAAAAUACAAAUUUAAUGUAUAAUAUAUUAUAACUUGUUAAAAAGUAUAUUACUAUAUGCACAUUGUAAUAUAAAGUAUUCUUAUAAUAUAAAUUUGAACAUCUAAUUCAGUGAAUAAUAAUUCAAAAAUGAAAAAAAUAACAUUCAACAAUACCAUAACAUUCAAAAAUUUGACAAUAAAUAAAAAGUGCAGUAAAUAGUAUCAAAUAAUAUUCUACUCUUCAUAAACUUGUUUUUGUUUUUCUUCUGUUUGAGCAUUCUUCUCGAUUUGUCCGUGCAACUCAACAUUUAUUGAUUUUUCAUUAUCACUGCAUGAUAGCAAAGCAUAAUAACUAAGUAUAAAAAAAUAAAUGAUUUAUCGCAUUCAAGAUUAUGUAUAACAAUAUGUAAAGAUUAUAACUUAAAAAAAUAAAAUAAUAUAUUAAAUCUACCUUCUCAUGCAAAUCUUUUUAUGAGGAUUCCCUUUCUCUGUGAUUUUUUAUGAACCAUCUGAUAAAUGAUUUAUAUGAAGUGUAUUGAAAUGCUGUUGAUUAGAAUCAUCUGUUGUACUAAUUGGGAUCUGAGAAGAAGAUACUUCAUGUUAAUAUUGGUUGUCGGUUCUGCCAAUCUGAUAAUGAUUUAUCAAAAUUAAAGGUAAAUAUAUUAUGUGAGAUAUAGUAUGUGAAACAUAAGAGAAAUUUAUUGCACAUUACCUGUGAAAGCAUGAAAUGCGUUUCCCUCCCGAAAUCACAGUGGAACUAUCUACUCACUAUAAAUCUAUUACUACCUUGUUCCAAAUUGUAAUUGUUCACCUUGAUUUGGAAUACAAAAGGUUUUCACGUGAUCUUAUUUAUAAUUGAUGAUACAAUUUCAUUGCUAAAUCCUUCUUGGAAAUGAAAUGUGUAAUAGAUUUUUUUUGUUAGAAUAUUCAAUAGCUGAGAUAAGCGUCGGAUUGUCUACUAUUAUUAAAAAUAUUUUAAAAAAUUAGAUAGAAGUUUACCUUGUUAAAUUCUUCAAGAACAAAAGAAAGUUUGUGUUUUAUUAUUCUUUCAGUCUUUUGAUCAAAUAUAACAAACCAAACACUACUGGUUGCAUCACUUGCCAAGACUUUUAACAUAUACCUAUAUAAAUACACAUAUUCUAAAAGUUAUGUUUAUGUAGAUAUUGUAGCAAUUAAAAUGAUAAAAAGGUUAAUACCUACGACAUACCUCAAUUUAAGAUACUCCAUAUUUUGAUUGCAAGCAAUACACAGUUUAAGAUACUCCAUAUUUUUCUUACAAUACAGGGACUUGGAUGUCGACUACUGACAAUAUUUGAGAAUACUCCUUGGAUGUCGACUACUGACAGCAUUGAUAGUGGUAGCUAAUAUUAUGAAUGUAGAUAGAAUUUACUUUUAAACUUCUUGAUUAUGAGAGCAAGGAAUUGAUGUAUUCUGUAAAGCACUUUCAUGGCGCUAUUUAUGAAGCAUAGACUAUAAGUGUAUAUAGCCAAUAGUUGCCGGAAGCUCAUGUUGUUUAAGUGAUUAGGUUCUUGACCUCUCUUCUAUUUAAACUAUGUUGAUAAGACAUAAGGUUGGAUAUUUUUUUAAAAACCUUAUGAAACCAUUCUCAAGUGAAUGAAUAUUCUCAAGUGGAUUAAUUAAGUAAACGGCUAGAAUCUUUUAAUUAACUAAUGAAUUUGCAGAUAUAUCUAAUAAAGAUAUUUAUAUCUCUUGUAUUUAUAUUGCAUUACUUUCCAGUGCCUUUUGUUUUUUGUUGUUUUUCCUAAAGGCAAAUUAACAAACAUCUUAACAUAUGAUCUCAAAAAUCAAUUAACAAACAUGUUAGCAAGAAUCUUACAAAAAUAACGAUAAAAGUACUUAUUUAAAUCCUAUGUCUUCAUACAAAACAAACAUAAAAUAAAACAAAAAAAAAAUUCAAGAUAUGUUGCUAAACUCUUACAAUUGAAGAUCAAUAUGCCUUUUUAAAAAAUAUAUAUAUUGAAAGAAAAUGUACCCAAAAAUGGCAAUGGGGGCGGGUGACUGCGAGCACCAGCCCCGCGGGUGACUGCGAGCACCCGCCCGCGGGGGGUUAAUGGGGAAGGGGGUGGGACUGGGGUGGGGCGGGGGCGGGGGGAAUAUUUUUCCCCCCGCUUAGAAACGGGGCGGGGGGCGGGGGAGUGUACCCCCACCCCGCCACCCGCUUUAAAAAAAUAUAUAUAAUUAUAUAUAAUAUAUAAUUUAAUUAGUUACAAACUUAUGAUAAUGAUAUUAUUAAUUAUAUGCAUUAUACAAUGUCUAUUAAUAUAUAUAAUAUAAUUGAUAUUAUUAAUUAUACUAAUAAUUAUAUAUGUAUACUAAUACAAAUUAUUAACUGGUUAUACUAAAUUUACUAAUACAUUUAUACUAAAUCCCUAAUUACAUUUAAUACAAUAAUAUUUUUUUCUUAAAAAAAGUAUAAGCACAAUAAUGAAUUAGUGAUUAUAUUUGUGCCAAAAGUGAAAAUUUGACUACUUUAGUUAUAUUUAUUUCAUUAUGUUGGAUUGUAUUCAAAUAUUUUUUGUUUGAUUGUUUUUAUAAAUUUCAAUUGUAAAAUUAUAAUGAAUAAUAAUUUGAUGAUGUGUUAAUAUUUUAGUAUUUGAUUAUUUGCUAAAAUUUAAUCAUAAUAAAAUUAUAUAACAAAUUUUUAUUAGCCCCGUAGGAGCACCCAUGGGGGAAGCGGGCGCGGGGCGGGGAUGUACGCGGGGGGAGCGGGGGACGCGGGAUGGGGGAGUUUGUAGGCAGCAGGGUGGGGGAUGAGGGAAGGGUCCCGCGGCCCAGCCCCCGCUCCGUUGCCAUCCCUAGGCGUACCUGACAAUUAAGAGAAGUGAAAACCCAAAAUCGAUACUUUAAUAUGCCAACCGCUUGCACUGAAAAUAUCUAACCAUGAAUCUGAUGUUUGAAAUCAAUAUAUUAGAGGCUAUAUGUAGUGUAGGCAUAAGAAAUAAGAAUUAAUAAGAAUAUAAAGAGAUAUUAAUAAGAACAUUAAAAGUAGGUUUAUCUUGAUUUAAGUUGCUUAAAGUACAUAACUUUGGGUAGGAAAUAAAAAUCGUAUAAUAUUAAGAAUUCUUAUAGGAAAUAAAACCACAAUCGUCCAAAUAACUUUUUUUUUAAGAAAAUAUGAUUUAUUAAUUGAAAUUAGUUACUUUUCUACUUCUUGUAGUAAUAACAAUUCUUAUUUAUUUUGGUUCCUUAUGUAGUACACAAAUUAUUGGCAUGAAUUUGGAGAUAUAUAUAAUAGAGAUAUUUAUGUCUCUUUUAUUUAUAUCGCAUUACUUUCCAGUUCUUUUUUUGGGUAGGAAAUAAGAAUAAUACAAUAUUAAAAAUUCUUAUAGGAAAUAAGAAUUGAUAUAAAUUCAAACAAAAAAGGAGCAACCCACGUAAAAAACUACUUGACGUCUCAUUAAGUCACGUAGGAAAGAAAAAACAUGAAAGGAUAAGAAUGAGGGUGCAAUAUAUAUAUAUGAUUCAUGGAAUCUUAAAAUUUGCACUCCAUUAGCAAUAAUAAAUUGUUGUGUAUCAAUCAGGCGUGGAAAGUGUAACUGGAUCAGUAUAAGUGAGUCCACAAUACUUAGUAUAGCAUAAAGCCUUAAACCAAGAUUUUGCAGUUGGUGUUGCAAGGGAGCAUGACAGCCCACAGGCCCUAUCUAAAUAUGUUUAGUAUGGUGUCCCAUUGUGCAAUCCAGCAAGGGAGAUUCAGGAUACCUACACCCCUCAUGGUUGUACUUAGAGGUGUCAAAAUGGGUGACUUGGAUGGAUUAGAGUUGGGUAAAAUGAGUAAUAAGUAUAAGUGAGUCAACUCAAUUAUAUCCAUUUAAUUAGAUGCGUAUAAAUGGGUAAGUCAAAAAAUGAAUUGGGUAACCCAAUUACCCAUUUAUAACCCAUUUAUUUUAAUUUUUUGUAAACUUAUUUAAAUUCAUUUUUACAAACUAAGUUAUCAAUUUAUACCACCCUUUGCACCCAUCAUUAGUUUUAAAUAUUUACUUAUAAUGUUCAAUAAGUUUAAUUAUCAAUUUUUUUCCAUCCGUACUCUAUGUCGCAAAAUUAUAUACUAUUUAAUAAUUGAAUAAUAAGAAUAUAAAAAUUUGAACUAAGUACUAUAAAAGUUAACAUAAAAAAUGUAAUCCAAAAAUUUUGAACUUCUAACAUUUUUUUCAUGUGUAAAUUUGAAAUUUCAUUUUAGAAAUGUAGGAAAAGAGGCUAAAACUUAUCAUAAAUUGGUAAUGCUGAAAAAUGAGGAAGUUAACAAACUAAAAGAAAAAAAAUGAUAAGAUAAAACCAACAAAUAAUAAUAAUAAUGAAACAAAAGUAGUUAACAUCAUGAUAAAAUAAAAAAUUUGAAAAAAAAAAUAGGUGGGGAAGAGAGGAGACUUGGGAGAAGACAAUUUUAAAUGGGUAUUAUUGGAUAACUCAUUUAUACUCAUAUACAAAAAUUAAUAAUACCCAUACCCAUCUAUUCAUGUACGGGUAUGGGUAAAUUAAGUUUAAUGAGUUGGUUUGCCACCUAUAAUUGUACUAGUAUAGAUGCAAUAGAUGUGGUUGUGUGAAAAUUCUUGCAUAUAUAUAUUUUUACAUUUGGAUUGUCAUUUUUUUUCGGAACAAAUUUUUACAUUUUUCGCGAAUACAUUUUUCAAUCACAUUUUUAUCUCAUAUGCAUCAAAUUACUAUAGUACAUUUAAAAAAAAAAAACUUCAAAAAAUAGCAAUUAAAGCGGACAGUAUGUCAAAAAAUUUCCUUUUUCUUCCUUUUGGUCGACAAGGGAUGUUGACAUGAUAUGGCUUAAACGAGUAAACCGAGUCACUCCAAUUGACACCUAAAAAUAUCAUCAAGCAUGAGCUAAACUCAUCCAACAUGGGGUUAACAACAAGAAGCAAACAAUUUUUUGCUUUGUAUUACAAGGAAUUUCGUGCAUUGAGAAGAAGAAAUGCAUGCAUGUGAAAGAAUGACAUGCUCUCCUUAAUUACUCAAAGGUUACUGGAAUGCUGAAUCCAGUUGUUGGUUAUAGACUGUUCUCAAUCAUUCCGAACCAUCAAAAUGGUGCCUAGGAUGCCAAUUUCAUCCAAUCAGUGGAAUGCAAUGUUCUACGGGGCUAUCCUACCUAGGACUUCGAUCACAAAUCUUAACCAUGCCAGUUUUAUCUAAAUUAAACCCAUAAUCAUCAGCCCAUGUGAUACCUGAUUUACAAUGUACUGGCACCUUUCUUCUUGAUCUUUCCUUCUCAAUCAUGUCGGGCUCAGACCCAUGGAAAAGAUUUGUUAAUUUAGGAUAAAUGUGAACGAGUUGAAUGCACAAUAAAUAAUUUGAGUGGAGAAGAGUGCAGACUAAUUAUUGACAUGUACGGCUGCAGUGCCCACCAGCCACCACGACGACAGGCGUUGGCAAAGUCCUGCUGUCGGGGAAGGGCGGGCCUGCUUCUUCUUCUAAAUUUCUCAAGCAAAUGGAUCCAUCUUGAUUUUUGAUCCCACCACUUUUCAUGUUUCAUUCACUUAGCAUGGGCAAAUGAUCAAGGCCAAGGUUUCUUCCGAGACAGGAAGGCAACUAGAUAAAAACCUACGUAAUUGGUCUCCCUGCCUUCUCUAGUAUUCCCCUCAGUGGAACGGAAAAAUACCUAUAUCAGAGUAGCAUCAUCAUGUGUGGAUGAACAAAACUAUUCAAACCAACAACGGGAACCGUCGAAAUGGGUGAAUUGAGUGAAUUUAUAAUUCAUAACUCAUUUAUAGUCAUUCAAUUAAAACAUCAAAAUCACUGAGCUUGACUCAAUGGCUACCAGAGAGGGAUUUAAGUUCUUCCUUAGACUGUAGGUGAGGGUUCAAAUCUCACCCGCAGCAAAAAAAGUCUAAAGAUUGUAUCGUUACCGAAAAAAAAAUUAAAGCGUCAUAAUGGACAUAUCAAAUAAUUAAAUGAGUCUAAUUGGAUUGCUCGUUUGGAGGUUAGGUCUCCUUAAAAAUAAAGACGAACUCAAAAUGUAAAGGUCGAACUCAAACUCAAGCUAGAGAUUAAAAAAAUAAAAAAUUAUUAUUAUUUUAUUUUUAAAAAAUAAAUAAAAUACUAAUUUUACUUAAUAAAUAAUAACAUAUUAGAAAUAUAUAUGUAUUUUUAAAAUAAAAAUAAUAUAUAUAUAUAUAUAUAUAAUCGAGCAGACUAAAGAGCCAAUGAACUGAACAUUUUUGAAUUCAAAUUCAACUUGACCAACUCGAACUCGAUUCGAACUGCCCGCAAGUGACUCGAUUCGGCGAGUCAUCUUGAUUGAAUUGAUACUGACACCUGUGCCAACAACCGGCAGAUGCUUGUUCACAUGAAAUUAACUUGUGGCAAGAGUUUUAUUGUUGACUUCAAGACGAGCAAAUAUGUGGGCAGCCGGUCAAAGAGAACGGCAUGCGUGAAUGUUAGUUCUAAGCUGACUGCCAUGGAGACUGGACUAACAGCAGCAUUGUGGAGGGCCACCAUGGAGAAUUAAUGUUCCUUGAAAAAUUUUCAAUGCGUGCGUAGAAUUUUGUUCGCAUUGUCUUUUAAAAUUUUGACCAAUAUACAGUGUAUUACUUGCUUGUUUAUAGAGCCGGAGGUUUUUUUCCUUUUAUUUUUUGAUUUUUGGUUUGUCGUUGGAAGCAUGGAGUGCCACAAAGAGGGACAUAUUAUAUAUAGGUUUUUCCGAUCAUAGAAGCAUGAAAAUUGUCUCAAUCUAGGUAUAUGUUAACUGUUGCAAGGUUGCCAACAAGUAAUUGAUUUGAGCUCGAGGAUAAUUAUUGAAAUCACCUUUGAGCUUGAGUUAGUAUUUACUCCAAUUUUUCUCGUUUUGAUUAUGCAAUAUUUAUUUAAUCAAAGGGAUGAAAGAAGAAAGGGGUAAUUGAGCACCUAACUUGUAUUUCAAUAGAAGAUUUUUAUAAACCGACUCGCCUUAGGGUCUGUUUGAUAACAUAAAAAACUGUUGAAUCUGAAUUUUUUCAGACAUUCAGAUGUUUUGAGUGUUUGAUAAAUGAAAAUUCAUUUGCUGAACUUGUUAAGUAGUGCUGAACUUGUGUGUAUUUCUUUCAGCGCAAGAAUCCUAACUGAAUGCUUAAUUCUGAUAAGAAUCAAUAGAAUUACUUCAAUUAUCUUAUCUUAUCUACCAAAUCUACCCUUGUUUGUUAAUUAUGUUCAAAAUUCUUAUCUAAUUAAACAAUCUAAUAUUCUCUAUUUAAUGAUUUUCUAUUUCUUUUUUCUCCCUUUUGAAUGAUUUUCACAUCUUCUCCAUACUCCUCAUAUAAUAUGUUUCAUCUUUUAAAUUAAUUUGAUUUAAAAAUAAAUAUUGUCAUUUUUAUACCUAACAUUUUUAGCUAAUUAAAUCAUAGGUUCUAUUUCUUUUUUGGAUGAAAAAAUAUAAGGGCAAAUUUGUCAAAUUUAACUUAUUAAACAUUCAGUUAUAAAUGUUUAUCAAACGGUAUAAAUAUGUUUAACAUUAAAAUUCAGACAUGCAUAUAUUUCUUUUCAGUACUUAAAAUUCAGCAAAUUAAUUGUUUCAGUAUUCAGAUUCAGUUUUAUCAAACGAAACCUUAAACGAACUGAUAGCUAGAAAAAUUUGCUGAAACUAGUAUUCAACAAGGAACAAAAACAACAAAUUAAAUGUGGAUAAAGAACAAGGAAAAGAAAAAGGAUUCAUUCAAAUUUCAACGAGUUAAAAUAGUCACGGGAAGUGGAAACGCCCCUACGUCGAUAGUAGCGUAAAUAUCAUAUACAGUUUCUGUUGUAUGUGAUAUUACAGAUCCAACACAAUCUAUAGUAAGUAUCCAGACUGAAUAUAUCUAAGUAUUUUCAUACGGACAUUUAUUCAUUUAUCAUUAGUCCAACUGUGUCACUCUCUACUACCAGGUUUGCUGCCAAUUGCCAAGUAAUUAAUGAACCAUCAAAUCAGAAUCGAGGCACAAAGAAUUUGCUGAAACUAAUUCUGGGACCAACUGCAAAAACAACAAAAACUGGUUAAAGCAACUUUGAAAGGCAAAAACAGAUUCAGUACUCAAAUUUCAAUGAGUUACAAUUGUCACUCGAAAGUAAAACACCCUCUAUAUGUAUAUAUGCAAGUUUUCAUAGGCCAAAAGUUCCAGCAUCUUUUCACGAACAGUAAUGCUGAAGAUUACAGGAAAAUAGAUUGAAAAUUUUAUCUGAACAUUGGCUGGAGGCCUACAAUGGAGGCCCCUUGACCACGAAACAGGCCUUUGAAAGCUUUUAAUUGAGAAAUGAUUUGCUUGUGCAAACCAACUUCAGCAGCAUAUACGGUAGAGAAAAUGCUCUUUCUUAGCCGUUUGAACCUCCUCCCAAUUCUAAUCUUCAACUUAUUGGUUUUAACCUUCAACCAAGAUGGCCUUUUUCUUGGAGAAUCUGCUUGUUGGAGGGCCUUGUAAAUCAAGAAUUGUGCUCUUCUAUGCCUUACUUCAUCAGGGUCUUCCAUAUCCAUCUUGGAGUAAGCAAAUGGUCUAUUCAAGAGACUCAUUUUGCUCUGAGGAAAAACCCAAAAAUUGGUAGUAGAAGAAACAGAGGAAGAAGAUCUAAUUAGGUUAGGUGGAAGUAACUUAUGCUACUGCACU